This 127-nucleotide ribosomal RNA is filed under the name uncultured bacterium. RNAcentral describes it as "partial 16S ribosomal RNA". It matches the Rfam family "Bacterial small subunit ribosomal RNA", at positions 355 to 495 of the family's 1533-position model. The record is from RNAcentral.
UGGGGAAUUUUCCGCAAUGGGCGAAAGCCUGACGGAGCAAGACCGCGUGAGGGAUGAAGGCCUUUGGGUUGUAAACCUCUUUUCUCAGGGAAGAACGCAAUGACGGUAGCCUGAUGGAAAUAUGCCU